AAAUUGAAGAGUUUGAUCAUGGCUCAGAUUGAACGCUGGCGGCAGGCCUAACACAUGCAAGUCGAACGGUAACAGGAAGCAGCUUGCUGCUUCGCUGACGAGUGGCGGACGGGUGAGUAAUGUCUGGGAAACUGCCUGAUGGAGGGGGAUAACUACUGGAAACGGUGGCUA
RNAcentral lists this ribosomal RNA (171 nucleotides) under Salmonella enterica subsp. enterica serovar Muenchen. RNAcentral describes it as "partial 16S ribosomal RNA". It matches the Rfam family "Bacterial small subunit ribosomal RNA", at positions 1 to 165 of the family's 1533-position model. Lineage: Bacteria; Pseudomonadati; Pseudomonadota; Gammaproteobacteria; Enterobacterales; Enterobacteriaceae. The record is from RNAcentral. RNAcentral also lists the same sequence under 7 other names.